UGCUCUGUAGCGAUCUGUGGGCUGCCCUGC
Molecule: non-coding RNA, 30 nt
Filed under: Homo sapiens (human)
Lineage: Eukaryota; Metazoa; Chordata; Mammalia; Primates; Hominidae
Source: RNAcentral